UGAGUACAAGAUGCUAAGGCAUCGAAGUAGUGUAUGUCAGACUUCCAAGAAAAGCUUGCACUGUCAUAAAUGAAAAAUGCCUGUACCAUAACCGACACAGGUGGGUAGGUAGAGUAUACUAAGGGGCGCGAGAUAACUCUCUCUAAGGAACUCGGCAAAAUAACUCCGUAACUUCGGGAGAAGGAGUGCCUUGUUUAUAAGGUUGCAAUAACAAGAUCCAAGCAACUGUUUACCAAAAACACAGGUCUCCGCUAAGUCGUAAGACGAUGUAUGGGGGCUGACACCUGCCCAGUGCCAGAAGGUUAAAGAAGUUGGUUAGCAUUCGCGAAGCUGAUAACUGAAGCCCUGGUGAACGGCGGCCGUAACGAUAACGGUCCUAAGGUAGCGAAAUUCCUUGUCGGGUAAGUUCCGACCCGCACGAAAGGCGUAAUGAUUUGGAUACUGUCUCGGAGAGGGGCUCGGUGAAAUAGACUUGUCUGUGAAGAUGCGGACUACCUGCACCUGGACAGAAAGACCCUAUGAAGCUUUACUGUAACUUGAAAUUGAAAUUGGACUUUAUUCGCGCAGUAUAGGUGGGAAGCGUUGAAAAUAUUCUUGCGGGAAUAUUGGAGCUAUCAGUGAGAUACCACUCUUAUAAUGUUAGGUUUCUAACUUUGUACCAUUAUCUGGUCAAAGAACAGUUUCGGGCGGGCAGUUUGACUGGGGCGGUCGCCUCCCAAAUGGUAACGGAGGCGUACAAAGGUUUCCUCUGAACGGGUAGAAAUCGUAUCUAGAGUGUAAAGGCAAAAGGAAGCUUGACUGUGAGACCUACAAGUCGAGCAGGGACGAAAGUCGGUCUUAGUGAUCUGACGGUACUGAGUGGAAAGGCCGUCACUCAACGGAUAAAAGUUACUCUAAGGAUAACAGGCUGAUCUCCCCCAAGAGUUCACAUCGACGGGGAGGUUUGGCACCUCGAUGUCGGCUCAUCGCAUCCUGGGGCGGUAGUACGUCCCAAGGGUUGGGCUGUUCGCCCAUGAAAGCGGUACGCGAGCUGGGUUCAGAACGUCGUGAGACAGUUCGGUCCAUAUCCGGUGUAGGCGUUAGAAUAUUGAGAGGAGCCUUCUCUAGUACGAGAGGACCGAGAAGGACAUACCUCUGGUGUACCAGUUAUCGUGCCAACGGUAAACGCUGGGUAGCUAUGUAUGGAGUGGGUAACCGCUGAAAGCAUCUAAGUGGGAAGCCCACCUCAAGAUGAGUAUUCUCAUC
Molecule: ribosomal RNA, 1245 nt
Filed under: metagenome
Description: bacterial LSU rRNA
Rfam family: Bacterial large subunit ribosomal RNA
Source: RNAcentral